Molecule: non-coding RNA, 221 nt
Organism: Caenorhabditis elegans
Lineage: Eukaryota; Metazoa; Nematoda; Chromadorea; Rhabditida; Rhabditidae
Source: Ensembl
UGGAAAGGAUCUUUGAAGGUUUAUGACUAGCCUAAUAAUACAAAAUUAUUGGCAAUAAGGAGCGGCUACUACUGCUGUCCACAUUCGUUGUUUCCGCAUAGCUCCGCCUUCCAAAAUUUUAAUUCAAAAGUGCAAAUCAUCAUCGGAUGUACAUAGUACGGAGACAAAUUGUUUACAUUUGGCACGGCGGUCGAGAAGAAAAUGAGGUCGCCCCCUUCACU